Molecule: non-coding RNA, 95 nt
Filed under: Thalassobacillus devorans
Lineage: Bacteria; Bacillati; Bacillota; Bacilli; Caryophanales; Bacillaceae
Description: Purine riboswitch
Rfam family: Purine riboswitch aptamer
About the family: Riboswitches are metabolite binding domains within certain messenger RNAs that serve as precision sensors for their corresponding targets. Allosteric rearrangement of mRNA structure is mediated by ligand binding, and this results in modulation of gene expression.
Source: RNAcentral
UUAUAAAACAAUAACUCGUAUAUGCUCGGUAAUAUGGUCGGAGUGUUUCUACCAGGUUCCCAUUGAAAGAACUGGACUACGAGGUGAAAUUUAUG